UAUAACGUACGUAUGUUUGAAAUGUG
This 26-nucleotide non-coding RNA is filed under the name Drosophila erecta. Lineage: Eukaryota; Metazoa; Arthropoda; Insecta; Diptera; Drosophilidae. RNAcentral also lists the same sequence under 1 other name. The record is from RNAcentral.